GAUGAACGCUGGCGGCGUGCCUAAUACAUGCAAGUCGAGCGAACGGACGAGAAGCUUGCUUCUCUGAUGUUAGCGGCGGACGGGUGAGUAACACGUGGAUAACCUACCUAUAAGACUGGGAUAACUUCGGGAAACCGGAGCUAAUACCGGAUAAUAUUUUGAACCGCAUGGUUCAAAAGUGAAAGACGGUCUUGCUGUCACUUAUAGAUGGAUCCGCGCUGCAUUAGCUAGUUGGUAAGGUAACGGCUUACCAAGGCAACGAUGCAUAGCCGACCUGAGAGCGUGAUCGGCCACACUGGAACUGAGACACGGUCCAGACUCCUACGGGAGGCAGCAGUAGGGAAUCUUCCGCAAUGGGCGAAAGCCUGACGGAGCACCGCCGCGUGAGUGAUGAAGGUCUUCGGAUCGUAAAACUCUGUUAUUAGGGAAGAACAUAUGUGUAAGUAACUGUGCACAUCUUGACGGUACCUAAUCAGAAAGCCACGGCUAACUACGUG
RNAcentral lists this ribosomal RNA (497 nucleotides) under uncultured bacterium. RNAcentral's name for it is "partial 16S ribosomal RNA". It matches the Rfam family "Bacterial small subunit ribosomal RNA", at positions 28 to 507 of the family's 1533-position model. The record is from RNAcentral.